AUUACAGCAAACUUUGAUGGCGACGCAUU
This 29-nucleotide small RNA is filed under the name Bombyx mori (domestic silkworm). RNAcentral describes it as "ovarian small RNA-12668". Lineage: Eukaryota; Metazoa; Arthropoda; Insecta; Lepidoptera; Bombycidae. The record is from RNAcentral.